RNAcentral lists this ribosomal RNA (424 nucleotides) under uncultured bacterium. RNAcentral describes it as "bacterial SSU rRNA". It matches the Rfam family "Bacterial small subunit ribosomal RNA", at positions 355 to 776 of the family's 1533-position model. The record is from RNAcentral. RNAcentral also lists the same sequence under 1 other name.
UGAGGAAUAUUGCGCAAUGGAGGCAACUCUGACGCAGCCAUGCCGCGUGCAGGAAGAAGGCGCUACGCGUUGUAAACUGCUUUUAUCCGGGAAGAAACCCCAGGACGUGUCCUGGGUUGACGGUACCGGAGGAAUAAGCACCGGCUAACUUCGUGCCAGCAGCCGCGGUAAUACGAAGGGUGCAAGCGUUAUCCGGAUUCAUUGGGUUUAAAGGGUGCGUAGGCGGAGCGUUAAGUCAGUGGUGAAAUCCUGCAGCUCAACUGUAGACUUGCCAUUGAUACUGGCGCUCUUGAGUGCGCUUGAAGUGGGCGGAAUGUGCCGUGUAGCGGUGAAAUGCUUAGAUAUGGCACAGAACACCAAUUGCGAAGGCAGCUCACUAAGGCGAUACUGACGCUGAGGCACGAAAGCGUGGGGAUCGAACAGG